GAUCCUUCAUCUAUGGUGGAUGCCUCUUCAGUCUUCUCAUCUGAGUAACUCGAUCUUAAUGACUAUCCGCAGUUCUUCAGACGAGGAAACGUCAUCCUGUAACGCUUCCAGAAGACUCCUAUCCUAUAUAUAGAUUUCCACGGAUGUGCCCAUGUUGAGAAAAGGAUUACUAAUUUUCUGUUUCAGAGAAGAGUUUAAGCAUCGUCGGAUGAAGGGCGAGUCAUUGAUGUUAACUAAACUUGAGGCUUAUGAUAGAAAUUCGUCGACUAAAAAGCUCAUCAAAUAAAUCCAGGCUGAUAACCUCCUUUUACUCAGAAAGAUAAGGGUUUGUAUGGAGUUCCGACGGUGGAAGUGAGGUUCAGUGACCUUUUUCUUUAAGCGGAAUGUGAAGCAGUUCAUGCUCGGUCCUCCUGGUUGUGCGAAGACCACUCUGUUACAUGCACUUUUUAAAAAGUUAAAAAGUGUAUCAGAGGCGACAAGUGUUGUCUUCACUUUAAAGGUUGGAGGAGAAGUUACAAUGGUUUCUUACUUUCAGAGUUUACAAGAGAAAAUGUCAGAGUUAAUAUAAGUCAAAACGAUAUGCAUAUUCCAGAAGAGUGUGAGAGUGAUUGGAAGUUGUACGGGUGUGAUGACAAAACUUC
This is a long non-coding RNA of Brassica oleracea var. oleracea, 641 nucleotides long. RefSeq lists it as uncharacterized. NCBI's taxonomy places the organism in Eukaryota, Viridiplantae, Streptophyta, Magnoliopsida, Brassicales, Brassicaceae. The transcript has 3 exons. The record is from RefSeq and is a predicted model, not a curated record.